GUAGCGAUGAUGAGUUUAUAGUUUGGUGUGGGCAGUGGACAAUGGUGAUAGUAUAUUGUUUGUUAUCUCCGUGAGCCUUUCUCACCAUUAUUACAACUUUUCCUUCCACUGAGCUUA
Zingiber officinale is the source of this 117-nucleotide small nucleolar RNA. RefSeq annotates it as small nucleolar RNA Z152/R70/R12. The transcript has a single exon. The record is from RefSeq and is a predicted model, not a curated record. Lineage: Eukaryota; Viridiplantae; Streptophyta; Magnoliopsida; Zingiberales; Zingiberaceae.